RNAcentral lists this long non-coding RNA (2678 nucleotides) under Dicentrarchus labrax (European seabass). Its description in RNAcentral is "lncRNA (ENSDLAG00005027782.1)". The record is from RNAcentral. Lineage: Eukaryota; Metazoa; Chordata; Actinopteri; Moronidae.
AUGACCAUGAAUGCGGCUGAUGUCGUCAUUCCUAGGGAAAGCUACCACCCUGCUGACUUGUUAGAGACGCAGAUGGACCAAACUGCCCAAGACACUAAUCAACAGAUGACCAUGAAUGCGGCUGAUGGUGUCAUUUCUGGGGAAAGCUCCCACUCUGCUGUCUUGUUAGGACCACACAUGGACGAAACUGCCCAAGACACUAAUCAACAGAUGACCAUGAAUGCGACUGAUGUCAUCAUUCUUGGGGAAAUCUACCACUCUGCUGUCUUGUUAGAGAUUCAGAGUGAUGACGUUUCGAGUCCACAAGACACUAAUCAACAGAUGACCAUGAAUGCAGCUGAUGUUGUCAUCCCUGAGGAAAGCUCCUACCCGGCUGUCUUUGUAGAGAUGCAGAUGGAUGAAGCUUUUGAUCCACCAGACUCUAAUCAGCAGAUGAAAGACACAGAUGUUGAAGAGUCAAAUGAUGAAUCUGACUCUGCAUCAGGGAGUAGUGAUGAGUACAUACCAGAUACCACUUCUGAAAGUGAAGAGAGUGAUGCGAGCCUGAAACCAAGGACCAAACCCUUUUCUCUUGAUGACGUAUUGAAUGACUCCGGUUCAAUGAGUCCCCCCAGUCUGUGACACGACAACUUUAGACCAUGUGAUCUUUGACAGCAACACAACAACAUAUGAGGUCACUGAAGCAGACGGACCCUGCACAAGUCAAGACAUGACUGACAGCAUAGUUGUUCGUGCUUCCAAAAAAAGAAAUGGCAAUAGAGUGUACAACAAGAGACAUUAUUGCUUGUAUUGCAGGAAACCUUAUGCCAAGAUGGCAAGACAUCUAGAAAGUGCACACCAAGAUAAAUCAGAUGUGGCCAAAGCUCUUAGCUUUCGAAAGGUUCCAAGGAAAGGAAAAAACAGCUGGAUUAUAUUCGCAACAGAGGCAACUAUGCUCACAAUGCUGCUGUUAUGGAGUCAGGGAAUGGAGAAUUGGUACCAUUUAAACAACCACCUAAAGAAGCAAAAGGAGGUGAUUUCAUGCACUGUGCAUACUGCCAAGGACUUUUUACAAGAAAGGUCCUGUGGCGACACAUGCGAAGUUGUAAACUCCAACCUGGAUCAGUUCGCCCCAGACCAGGAAAGAACCGUGUUCAGUCUUUGUGUACAUUCACAGGGCCGGUGCCUUCACACAUAAGUAAACAAUUGUGGGGAGUUAUCAGUGCCAUGAAGCCUGAUCCAAUCACGGAUACAAUAAAAAAUGACCAUGUCAUUACUGAUGUUGGGCAGCACCUGUUAAACAAAGGUGGGAUGUCAGCCAAGAAUCAACAGUGUGUGCGAGAGAAGAUGCGAGAAAUGGGAAGGUUGGUUCACAAUGCCAAGAGAGAGUUAGCACCUUAAAUAAAAUGGAGGAUUUCAUAAAUCCUAAAAAUUAUUUGGAUAUGGUCAAAGCUGUCAAGUUAACUUGUGGCUUUUACAGUGACACAAACACAUUCUUGAUUCCAUCACUGGCAAAUAAACUUGUUAAAGUCAGCAAACUCUUGAAAGCUCAGGGUUUGAUCUCAGAAAACAAAGAGCUUGUAAGGAAUGCCACUGAGUUUCAAGAAGUCCACAGCGAAAAGUGGAACGAGAUGGUAUCUGCAACAGCGCUAAGGAACAUUGCAGAAGCAAAGUGGAAUGUGCCCACUCUAAUGCCCUUUACUGAGGAUGUACAAAAAAAUGCAUCAGUUUCUCAGUCAAAUGCAAAAUGAGUGCAGCAAUGCUCUGUCUGAAAGUCCUUCUACAAAGGCCUGGCUUGACCUGGCAAAGGUGUGCUAGCACAGACCAUCCUCUUUAACCGGCUGAGGAAGGAGGUGGGGAGCAUGCCCUUGUCUGCAUUUCUAUCAAGAGACUCCUCAGAUCCCCACCAGGAUUUGGACUGGGCACUCUCUGAAGUGGAAAAAAACUUUGCAGACAUUUCUCAAGGAUAAUCAUCAGGGGAAAACGAGGUAGGCCGGUUCCCAAUUCUUCUGACUCCGAAAAUGCUGUGUGCAUUAGAACUGCUUGUUAAGCAUAGAGAGGCUUGUGGAGUUCUCAAAGACAAUGCUUACAUGUUUGCAAGACCCACAGCUAUGACACACAUCCGUGGUUCAGACUGCAUCCGUGGCUUCGCAAAGGAAUGUGGUGCAAAGUGUCCUGAGUCACUGACAUCCACCAGACUACGAAAACAUGCUGCAACCCUUUCAACCGUGCUGAACAUGACAGACACAGAGAUGGACCCAGCUGGCCAACUUUCUUGGUCAUGACAUUAGAAUCCAUCGUGAGUUCUAUCGACUCCCUGAGAAGACCCUGCAACUCGCCAAAAUCAGCAAAGUCCUAAUGGCACUUGAGCAAGGAAGAUUGGCUGAGUUCCAUGGCAAGAACUUGGAUGAAAUUACAAUUAAUCCAGAUGGUAUGUUUUCAGAUUUGUAUCUCCUUUGUCUAUCUUUUUUCCAUCCUUUCUUUUGUUUGAUCACAUUUAAAAGCUGUACCGGUAUGUCUCCCACAGAAAAAGUUCUGGAUUGUGAUGAGGAAGAUGAGAAGAGAGAGGAAGAAAACUGUUCAUCUGCUGUUAAUGGUAAUUUUAGUAAUUUAAUGUAAAAAAAAAAAAAUAGGUUCGUAACUUUUUACUGGACCUGGACCAUCAAGUAAUCAUUAUUUUUAGACCCGUCUAAGUAUCU